This 468-nucleotide ribosomal RNA is filed under the name uncultured bacterium. RNAcentral's name for it is "partial 16S ribosomal RNA". It matches the Rfam family "Bacterial small subunit ribosomal RNA", at positions 28 to 507 of the family's 1533-position model. The record is from RNAcentral.
GAUGAACGCUGGCGGCGUGCUUAACACAUGCAAGUCGAACGGAAAGGCCGAAGCUUGCUUCGGUACUCGAGUGGCGAACGGGUGAGUAACACGUGGGUGAUCUGCCCUGUACUUCGGGAUAAGCUUGGGAAACUGGGUCUAAUACCGGAUAUGACGAUCUCUUGGAUGGGGUUGUGGAAAGCUUUUGCGGUAUGGGAUGAGCUCGCGGCCUAUCAGCUUGUUGGUGGGGUAAUGGCCUACCAAGGCGUCGACGGGUAGCCGGCCUGAGAGGGUGUACGGCCAAAUUGGGACUGGGAUACGGCCCAGGCUCCUACGGGAGGCAGCAGUGGGGAAUAUUGCACAAUGGGCGCAAGCCUGAUGCAGCGACGCCGCGUGGGGGAUGACGGCCUUCGGGUUGUAAACUCCUUUCGCAAUCGACGAAGCCUUUUGGUGACGGUAGGUUGAGAAGAUGCACCGGCUAACUACGUG